CUAUACCUGGGUACAAGCAAUGAU
This 24-nucleotide non-coding RNA is filed under the name Cricetulus griseus (Chinese hamster). The record is from RNAcentral. Lineage: Eukaryota; Metazoa; Chordata; Mammalia; Rodentia; Cricetidae.